UUGAGGCAAUAACAGGUCUGUGAUGACUUAGAUGUUCUGGGCUGCACGCGCGCUACACUGACACGAUCAACAAGUAUUUCCUUGCCCGGUAGGGUUAGGGUAAUCUUUUGAAAUCGUGUCGUGCUAGGGAUAGACGAUUGCAAUUAUUCGUCUUCAACGAGGAAUUCCUAGUAAAUGCAAGUCAUCAGCUUGCGUUGAUUACGUCCCUGCCCUUUGUACACACCGCCCGUCGCUCCUACCGAUUGAGUGAUCCGGUGAGCUGUCCGGACUGCGAUUAGUUCAGUUUCUGUUCUCUUCGCGGGAAGUUCUGCAAACCUUAUCACUUAGAGGAAGGAGAAGUCGUAACAAGGUUUCCGUAGGUGAACCUGCGGAAGGAUCAUUC
This 382-nucleotide non-coding RNA is filed under the name Perkinsus marinus ATCC 50983. RNAcentral describes it as "Eukaryotic small subunit ribosomal RNA". It matches the Rfam family "Eukaryotic small subunit ribosomal RNA", at positions 1445 to 1831 of the family's 1831-position model. Lineage: Eukaryota; Perkinsozoa; Perkinsida; Perkinsidae. The record is from Rfam by way of RNAcentral.